UAGCAGUAUCAGGGUCACCAAAGAU
RNAcentral lists this non-coding RNA (25 nucleotides) under Mus musculus (house mouse). The record is from RNAcentral. Lineage: Eukaryota; Metazoa; Chordata; Mammalia; Rodentia; Muridae.